RNAcentral lists this ribosomal RNA (36 nucleotides) under Chenopodium striatiforme. The record is from RNAcentral. Lineage: Eukaryota; Viridiplantae; Streptophyta; Magnoliopsida; Caryophyllales; Amaranthaceae.
GGUGACCUCCUGUGAAGUCCUCGUGUUGCACCCCUU